Molecule: small nucleolar RNA, 140 nt
Organism: Phragmites australis (common reed)
Lineage: Eukaryota; Viridiplantae; Streptophyta; Magnoliopsida; Poales; Poaceae
Product: small nucleolar RNA Z247
Exons: 1
Source: RefSeq, a predicted model, not a curated record
CCUCUACAAGAGGAAGAAAUUAUUUCCUAUCUGCUCAUAGGGCUUGGAUUUUAUUAUGAUCCAUUAGUGACUUCCAUUAUUGCAAGAUCUGGUACAAUCACACUUGGAGAAGUAUAUUCUCUAAUGCUCAAGUAUGAAUU